RNAcentral lists this ribosomal RNA (253 nucleotides) under uncultured bacterium. Its description in RNAcentral is "partial 16S ribosomal RNA". It matches the Rfam family "Bacterial small subunit ribosomal RNA", at positions 524 to 776 of the family's 1533-position model. The record is from RNAcentral.
UACGAGGGGGGCAAGCGUUGUUCGGAAUUAUUGGGCGUAAAGGGCGCGUAGGCGGUGCGGUAAGUCACCUGUGAAAACUCUGGGCUCAACUCAGAGCCUGCAGGCGAAACUGCCGUGCUUGAGUGUGGGAGAGGUGCGUGGAAUUCCCGGUGUAGCGGUGAAAUGCGUAGAUAUCAGGAGGAACACCGGUGGCGAAGGCGGCUCUCUGGACGGUGACUGACGCUGAGACGCGAAAGCGUGGGGAGCAAACAGG